CGGGCGCGGGAGACGGAUCGUUUACUUUGAAAAAAUCAGAGUGUUUCAAGCAGGCAGCUCGCUCUUGCAUGGAUUAGCAUGGGAUAAUGAAAUAGGACUCUGGUGCUAUUUUGUUGGUUUCGAACACUGGAGUAAUGAUUAACAGGGACAGCCAGGGGCACUCGUAUUCCGUCGAGAGAGGUGAAAUUCUCAGACCAAUGGAAGACGAACCACUGCGAAAGCAUUUGCCAGGGAUGUUUUCACUGAUCAAGAACGAAAGUUAGGGGAUCGAAGACGAUCAGAUACCGUCGUAGUCUUAACCAUAAACCAUGCCGACUAGGGAUUGGAGGGUGUUCUAUUCGACCCCUUCAGCACCUUACGGGAAACUAAAGUCUUUGGGUUCCGGGGGGAGUAUGGUCGCAAGGCUGAAACUUAAA
Molecule: ribosomal RNA, 416 nt
Filed under: uncultured marine eukaryote
Lineage: Eukaryota
Description: SSU rRNA
Rfam family: Eukaryotic small subunit ribosomal RNA
Source: RNAcentral